Molecule: ribosomal RNA, 376 nt
Filed under: uncultured organism
Description: partial 16S ribosomal RNA
Rfam family: Bacterial small subunit ribosomal RNA
Source: RNAcentral
GUAGGUGGCAAGCGUUGUCCGGGAAUUAUUGGGGCGUAAAGCGCGCGCAGGCGGUUCUUUAAGUCUGAUGUGAAAGCCCACGGGCUCAACCGUGGAGGGUCACUGGAAACUGGAGAACUUGAGUACAGAAGAGGAAAGCGGAAUUCCACGUGUAGCGGUGAAAUGCGUAGAGAUGUGGAGGAACACCAGUGGCGAAGGCGGCUUUCUGGUCUGUAACUGACGCUGAGGCGCGAAAGCGUGGGGAGCAAACAGGAUUAGAUACCCUGGUAGUCCACGCCGUAAACGAUGAGUGCUAAGUGUUAGGGGGUUUCCGCCCCUUAGUGCUGCAGCUAACGCAUUAAGCACUCCGCCUGGGGAGUACGGCCGCAAAGGCUGA